This 873-nucleotide long non-coding RNA is filed under the name Mus musculus (house mouse). Its description in RNAcentral is "long non-coding RNA chr2:151540515-151541388". Lineage: Eukaryota; Metazoa; Chordata; Mammalia; Rodentia; Muridae. The record is from RNAcentral.
AAACAAGUCAGCCCUCAUGAUCUCUUGAAACAAAGACAUGGUUGCAAGAUGGGAGUAACAAGGUAGUCAUAGUCAUAACAAGGUGGUCAUAUAAUCUUUUGAAACAAGAUGGUUAUAAACAAUUCUUUGAAACAAAGACAUGACUGCCAUUCCUGGAACAGGCAGUACUGAACUAUUUGUAGUUAAGAUUACAGGUGAGUCAUAGCCCAAUCCUUGAAAAACAGAAGUUUAAUCAUAAAUAGGAAUGGACCUCCUUUGUCUUUAUGAUAAGAUGGCUUUUAAGCCUAAGAUGGUUGCAGGCUGGAUCUUCAUUCCCUGCUUGUCUUCUGUGUCCCUGUGAAAUCUUUGGUAAGGUCUUAGCAUUCUUUAUCUGGGUGAAAACAAAAUUUGGAGCAUAUCAAAUGAUGAAAUCAUAAAUUAUACCUGUUUGGUUAGCAUAGAUAAAACCAAUAUUUUAAGGCCACAUAAUCUUGGUAUGCCAAUAAGUUCUUUAAGUACUUAUUUUGUCUCCUUUGCCAGGGAGUUAGUUCCAUUAGACCUAAUAUUCCGACCCUUUGUUGAGAACAAGAGAUGUAUUCUCCUCUAAACCUACUUCCUGCAAAAAUUAGGAUGCCACUGUUAGAGCCCAGUAAGGCUGGGGUAUUACCCAAAGGCCAGGGUGGGCUAGGGUAGUGAGGUAUUCAUCCGAAGCUGGUUUGCUGACCCAGAUGAAGAGACAGGAAGUAUCACAUCGACUAGACUGAUUUAUAUCAACUUUCAGCAAGUCCAGGACUUUUUGGUUUUGUUUGUGGAGCUGUUGUGGUGUAGAUCGCCUCUGGAGCAGUUUAUAGUCCCUAGAUUGGGAUCUGACAGAACCAGAAACCAGAUGUCACC